This is a long non-coding RNA of Pimephales promelas (fathead minnow), 1243 nucleotides long. RefSeq lists it as uncharacterized. NCBI's taxonomy places the organism in Eukaryota, Metazoa, Chordata, Actinopteri, Cypriniformes, Leuciscidae. The record is from RefSeq and is a predicted model, not a curated record.
ACGACGUUGCGAUUUGCGCGUGCGCGCCUCGAACGCAGCAACUCCUGACAGGAGAGGACAGCUCGUGUUUCUGAGGGAGAAAAACACUUUAAGGACUCAGGAAGUGACAUCAUCAUGUUGGGAAAUCAGCAGCACAAACAUCAUCAGUCCUGUCCUCCAGCCAAUGGUUAUGUCAUGGGUCUGACCUCUGACUUUUGACCUCACAGCGAAACAAAAAAGCCAAUUGAAGUAUUCCAGAUGAAGCCAAGUCACUCCUAAAUGCAAAGAAACAUUAUUCCCUGAAUUUUAUCUGAGUUAUGAACAUCACUGAGGAGGACAAAACUUCUGGAUCUAUAACAGAAAUGCAUUAGAAAGCACAAUAUUCACUCAGUGGACACUAAAGAAAGCAUUCAAAUGUCCAGAUCCUUAGCUCAGCGCUGUAAGAGAUGAUCUUGGAUCAGUUUUAGCUCCAUAACUCCCAACAUACGUCACCAGCUCCAUCUAGAUCUUUCCUCAGUGCCUGCCUAAAGUCAUCCACAACUUUUGUGGAAAGCCUAAGACUUCUAAGCACACAAAACCAAACCAAAGCACAAUUCACUCACCUUUGCUAGCUGAUGGAUUGUGGUCUUGGGUCUGUUGUCUUUGUGUUGGAGAGUGAGACAGUUACACUUACGGGACACAGAAGUUUCUUCAGAGCAUCAGCUCGAGUAAUGCGACCCUCCCACUUUACUCUCGGCCAAUCAGAGCUCUCCGAUCUCCCAGACAGAGCCGGCCCACAGCAGGGAUUUACCAUAUAAGGGCAAAGAAUGCUCAGCCUGUCUUUGUGUUGAAGGCACACAGAGAACGAGAGACCCGGAGGAAUCAACAUGAAAUGACAGGAAAAGAGAUAAGCUGCCUUAUUUAGAGAGAAUGAGGGAUGAGUGCGUUUGUGUACAUUCCUCAAAACCCCUGGUGUAACAUGCCUUGGAUGGACAGUGAUCUGGCCAAAUCUACUGGCUGGAUAACUCUGUUUAUAUUAAAUAACUCUUAACUUUUAUGCAUGACAGUAGUUUGGUUAUUGUUUUCCAGGGCCGUUAGUGUGACAUGAGCCAUGAACAUGAGAGAGAGUUAUUAUUAUGGAAGUUAUUAUCUUACUGCUCUUGGAAUAGGUAUUUUAUAUCCAUCAUUAAAGCUGGAAUUGAUUACCAUUUACAGAGUGAGUGUCUAAACACUGAAAAUAUGAUGGUGAUUGAGCAGUUAUAGCUCUUAUUUAAUGCUUGGAUAC